UGCCUUCGCGUUGAAGAGGUGAUGG
RNAcentral lists this non-coding RNA (25 nucleotides) under Mus musculus (house mouse). Lineage: Eukaryota; Metazoa; Chordata; Mammalia; Rodentia; Muridae. The record is from RNAcentral.